Molecule: ribosomal RNA, 482 nt
Filed under: uncultured bacterium
Lineage: Bacteria
Description: partial 16S ribosomal RNA
Rfam family: Bacterial small subunit ribosomal RNA
Source: RNAcentral
AUUGAACGCUGGCGGCAUGCUUUACACAUGCAAGUCGAACGGUAACAGGCCGCAAGGUGCUGACGAGUGGCGAACGGGUGAGUAAUGCAUCGGAACGUGCCCAGUCGUGGGGGAUAACUACUCGAAAGAGUAGCUAAUACCGCAUACGAUCUAUGGAUGAAAGCGGGGGACCGUAAGGCCUCGCGCGAUUGGAGCGGCCGAUGUCAGAUUAGGUAGUUGGUGGGGUAAAGGCUCACCAAGCCAACGAUCUGUAGCUGGUCUGAGAGGACGACCAGCCACACUGGAACUGAGACACGGCCCAGACUCCUACGGGAGGCAGCAGUGGGGAAUUUUGGACAAUGGGCGCAAGCCUGAUCCAGCAAUGCCGCGUGCAGGAAGAAGGCCUUCGGGUUGUAAACUGCUUUUGUACGGAACGAAACGGCUCUGGUUAAUACCCGGGGGUAAUGACGGUACCGUAAGAAUAAGCACCGGCUAACUACGUG